RNAcentral lists this long non-coding RNA (267 nucleotides) under Elaeis guineensis (African oil palm). Its description in RNAcentral is "long non-coding RNA (EGUI_LNC024606)". The record is from RNAcentral. Lineage: Eukaryota; Viridiplantae; Streptophyta; Magnoliopsida; Arecales; Arecaceae.
GGGUAUGAUUGUAUUUAUUAUAUGAAGUUUAUGUUUAUUUUGAAAUGGUUUGUGUUUAUUCCAAUAUAAGUUAGUGUUUAUCAUUUCCUCUUAUUAUUUAUCUUGAAAGGAUCCUUGGAUGAUCUAAGUUUUGGACCUCGAGUUUGUAUUUAUCCUAGACUAUUUGUGUUUAUUGCUAUAGAUAUUUAUGUUUAUUAUAUACAGUUUGGGAUUAUAUAGAGUUUGUAUUUAUUCUGGGUUAGUUUGUGUUUAUCCUAUCAUAGGUUC